Molecule: ribosomal RNA, 371 nt
Filed under: uncultured Verrucomicrobiota bacterium
Lineage: Bacteria; Pseudomonadati; Verrucomicrobiota
Description: bacterial SSU rRNA
Rfam family: Bacterial small subunit ribosomal RNA
Source: RNAcentral
AGAGGUCCCAAGCGUUGUUCGGAUUUACUGGGCGUAAAGGGUGCGUAGGUGGUCGGGUAAGUCUGAUGUGAAAUCUCGGAGCUUAACUCCGAAACUGCAUUGGAUACUACUCGGCUUGAGAGUUGGAGGGGGGACUGGAAUUCUCGGUGUAGCAGUGAAAUGCGUAGAUAUCGAGAGGAACACCAGUGGCGAAGGCGAGUCCCUGGACAACUUCUGACACUGAGGCACGAAAGCCAGGGGAGCAAACGGGAUUAGAUACCCCGGUAGUCCUGGCCCUAAACGGUGCACGUUUGCUGUGAGAGGAAUCGACCCCUUUCGUGGCGAAGCUAACGCGUUAAACGUGCCGCCUGGGAAGUACGGCCGCAAGGUUA